RNAcentral lists this long non-coding RNA (470 nucleotides) under Rattus norvegicus (Norway rat). RNAcentral describes it as "long non-coding RNA NONRATT025838". Lineage: Eukaryota; Metazoa; Chordata; Mammalia; Rodentia; Muridae. The record is from RNAcentral.
UUUUUUUUUUUCAGUAGAUUUUUUUUGUCACUGCUUCCAAAUAAUUCUAAAUCUUGCAUGUUUGCCAAACAAGGAAGACAACAGCACCCUGCUCAUCCGAGGUUACAGGAGGCUGGGGACUGAUUUCCUUUUGAAAUUCAGUUACAGAAAUAGGCCAUUGUGUGUCUUGCUGACACAAUCACAAAUGCUCAGUGGCUUAAGACAUGUCAUGUAGGCAAGAUGUGCACCACAAGCAGCUUAUGCCAGGCAAAAAUGCUGGUGGGGGCUGCCUCAGCUGUUCAGAACUCCAGCUGCUCUUCCAGAGGACCCAGGAUCAAUUCCCAACACCCACAUGGCGGUUCACAACCACCUCUAACUCCAGUUCCAGGGGCUCCGACAAGUUCUUCUGGUCUCUGCAGGCAUGUAUGUAGGAUACAGACCCUUGCAAACAAAACACCAUAUGCAUAAAAUAAAAUAAUUUAAAAAAAAAA